RNAcentral lists this ribosomal RNA (380 nucleotides) under uncultured eukaryote. Its description in RNAcentral is "partial 18S ribosomal RNA". It matches the Rfam family "Eukaryotic small subunit ribosomal RNA", at positions 592 to 976 of the family's 1831-position model. The record is from RNAcentral.
CAAUAGCGUAUAUUAAAGUUGUUGCGGUUAAAAAGCUCGUAGUUGGAUUUCUGCCGAGGACGACCGGUCCGCCCUCUGGGUGUGUAUCUGGUUUGGCCUGGGCAUCUUCUUGGAGAACGUAGCUGCACUUGACUGUGUGGUGCGGUGUCCAGGACUUUUACUUUGAGGAAAUUGGGGUGUUUCAAGCAGGCACACGCCUUGAAUACAUUAGCAUGGAAUAAUAAGAUAGGACCUCGGUUCUAUUUUGUUGGUUUCUAGAGCUGAGGUAAUGAUUAAUAGGGAUAGUUGGGGGCAUUCGUAUUUAACUGUCAGAGGUGAAAUUCUUGGAUUUGUUAAAGACUAACUUAUGCGAAAGCAUUUGCCAAGGAUGUUUUCAUUAA